CACACUAUCAUUAACUGAAUCCAUAGGUUAAUGAGGCGAACCGGGGGAACUGAAACAUCUAAGUACCCCGAGGAAAAGAAAUCAACCGAGAUUCCCCCAGUAGCGGCGAGCGAACGGGGAGCAGCCCAGAGCCUGAAUCAGUGUGUGUGUUAGUGGAAGCGUCUGGAAAGGCGCGCGAUACAGGGUGACAGCCCCGUACACAAAAAUGCACAUGCUGUGAGCUCGAUGAGUAGGGCGGGACACGUGGUAUCCUGUCUGAAUAUGGGGGGACCAUCCUCCAAGGCUAAAUACUCCUGACUGACCGAUAGUGAACCAGUACCGUGAGGGAAAGGCGAAAAGAACCCCGGCGAGGGGAGUGAAAAAGAACCUGAAACCGUGUACGUACAAGCAGUGGGAGC
Molecule: ribosomal RNA, 398 nt
Filed under: Escherichia coli
Lineage: Bacteria; Pseudomonadati; Pseudomonadota; Gammaproteobacteria; Enterobacterales; Enterobacteriaceae
Description: bacterial LSU rRNA
Rfam family: Bacterial large subunit ribosomal RNA
Source: RNAcentral